UGGCGGCAUGGAUUAGGCAUGCAAGUCGAACGAGUAAAGCUCCCUUCGGGGAGCAAGUACAGUGGCGAACGGGUGAGUAACGGGUGGAAAACCUGCCCUUCAAUGGGGGAUAACAGUUCUAACGAGCUGCUAAUACCGCAUACGACCUUCGGAUCGCAUGUUCCGAAGGUGAAAGGUGGCCUCUCUUUGAAGCUGCCGUUGAAGGAUGGUUCCGCCUCCCAUUAGCUUGUUGGUGGGGUAAUGGCCUACCAAGGCGACGAUGGGUAGCCGGCCUGAGAGGGUGUCCGGCCACACUGGGACUGAGAUACGGCCCAGACUCCUACGGGAGGCAGCAGUCGAGAAGCUUCGGCAAUGGGCGAAAGCCUGACCGAGCGAUGCCGCGUGAGUGAAGAAGGCCCUAUGGGUUGUAAAGCUCUGUCAGAUUGGGAAGAAAAUCCUACGGUUAAUACCCGUGGGACUUGACGGUACCAUCAGAGGAAGCACCGGCUAACUCCGUGCCAGCAGCCGCGGUAAUACGGAGGGUGCAAGCGUUGUUCGGAUUCACUG
RNAcentral lists this ribosomal RNA (546 nucleotides) under uncultured Pseudomonadota bacterium. RNAcentral describes it as "bacterial SSU rRNA". It matches the Rfam family "Bacterial small subunit ribosomal RNA", at positions 37 to 556 of the family's 1533-position model. The record is from RNAcentral. Lineage: Bacteria; Pseudomonadati; Pseudomonadota.